AUUGAUCAGACGAGUCCCAAAUAGGACGAAACGCGCGUCCUGGAC
This is a non-coding RNA of Schistosoma haematobium, 45 nucleotides long. NCBI's taxonomy places the organism in Eukaryota, Metazoa, Platyhelminthes, Trematoda, Strigeidida, Schistosomatidae. The record is from Rfam.